UUCUUACCAAUACAAAUAAUUGUAAGUAACAUCUGCUCAAUGAACAUUUAAAUUGCCGCGGCAAUUUAACCGUGCUAAGGUAGCAUAAUCAUUAGCCUCUUAAUUAGAGGCUUGUAUGAAUGAUGAUACAAUUUAUUUUCUUUAUUAUUUAUUUUAAUUGAAAUUUAAUUAAGAAUAAAAAUGUUCUUAUAAUUUAAAUAGACGAUAAGACCCUUUUGAACUUCACUUUAGUUUAGCUGGGGUAGCUAAAAAAUAAAUAUCUUUUAUAUAAUAUUAUAUAAUAAAUGAUCCAAUAUAUAUAUUGAAUAUAUGAACAAGUUACCAUAGGGAUAACAGCGUAAUAAAUUUCUAAAGCUCUUAUUUAAAAAUUUGAUUACGACCUCGAUGUUGAAUUAAUGUAACCUUUUAGUGCAAUAAUUAUAAAGGUAAGUCUGUUCGACUUUUAAAACAU
RNAcentral lists this ribosomal RNA (451 nucleotides) under Pycnacantha fuscosa. RNAcentral describes it as "partial 16S large subunit ribosomal RNA". It matches the Rfam family "Bacterial large subunit ribosomal RNA", at positions 1827 to 2596 of the family's 2925-position model. Lineage: Eukaryota; Metazoa; Arthropoda; Arachnida; Araneae; Araneidae. The record is from RNAcentral.